UACGUAGGGUGCGAGCGUUAAUCGGAAUUACUGGGCGUAAAGCGUGCGCAGGCGGUUGUGCAAGACAGAUGUGAAAUCCCCGGGCUUAACCUGGGAACUGCAUUUGUGACUGCACAGCUGGAGUGCGGCAGAGGGGGAUGGAAUUCCGGUGUAGCGGUGAAAUGCGUAGAUAUCGGAAGGAACAUCAGUGGCGAAAGCGACUUCCUGGACCAAUACUGACGCUCAUGUGCGAAAGCGUGGGGAGCAAACAGG
Molecule: ribosomal RNA, 252 nt
Filed under: uncultured bacterium
Lineage: Bacteria
Description: partial 16S ribosomal RNA
Rfam family: Bacterial small subunit ribosomal RNA
Source: RNAcentral